GGUUCCGUAGUGUAGUGGUUAUCACGUUCGCUUUACAAGCGAAAGGUCUCCGGUUCGAUCCCGGACGGAACCA
Molecule: non-coding RNA, 73 nt
Organism: Trichonephila clavipes
Lineage: Eukaryota; Metazoa; Arthropoda; Arachnida; Araneae; Nephilidae
Source: the annotation of a GenBank genome assembly